This is a non-coding RNA of Triticum aestivum (bread wheat), 135 nucleotides long. NCBI's taxonomy places the organism in Eukaryota, Viridiplantae, Streptophyta, Magnoliopsida, Poales, Poaceae. The record is from Rfam.
UAAAUACUCCCUCCGUUCGAAAAUACUUCUCAUCAAAAUGGAUAAAAAGAGAUGUAUCUAAAACUAAAAUACGUCUAGAUACAUUUCCUUUUAUCCAUUUUGAUUACAAGUAUUUCCGGACGGAGGGAGUAUUUG